This 88-nucleotide transfer RNA is filed under the name Wigglesworthia glossinidia endosymbiont of Glossina brevipalpis. RNAcentral's name for it is "tRNA-Ser (GCT) (tRNA-Ser-GCT-1-1)". It matches the Rfam family "tRNA". Rfam says of the family: Transfer RNA (tRNA) molecules are approximately 80 nucleotides in length. Their secondary structure includes four short double-helical elements and three loops (D, anti-codon, and T loops). Further hydrogen bonds mediate the characteristic L-shaped molecular structure. tRNAs have two regions of fundamental functional importance: the anti-codon, which is responsible for specific mRNA codon recognition, and the 3' end, to which the tRNAs corresponding amino acid is attached (by aminoacyl-tRNA synthetases). tRNAs cope with the degeneracy of the genetic code in two manners: having more than one tRNA (with a specific anti-codon) for a particular amino acid; and 'wobble' base-pairing, i.e. permitting non-standard base-pairing at the 3rd anti-codon position. Lineage: Bacteria; Pseudomonadati; Pseudomonadota; Gammaproteobacteria; Enterobacterales; Erwiniaceae. The record is from Rfam by way of RNAcentral.
GGUGAGAUGGCCGAGCGGAUUAAGGCGCUCCUCUGCUAAUGGAGUAUGUAAUUAAUUUGCAUCGAGGGUUCGAAUCCCUCUCUCACCG